Molecule: ribosomal RNA, 253 nt
Filed under: uncultured bacterium
Lineage: Bacteria
Description: partial 16S ribosomal RNA
Rfam family: Bacterial small subunit ribosomal RNA
Source: RNAcentral
UACAGAGGGGGCAAGCGUUGUUCGGACUUACUGGGCGUAAAGGGCGCGUAGGCGGCCUGCUAAGUCGAACGUGAAAUCCCCGGGCUCAACCCGGGAACUGCGUCCGAUACUGGCAGGCUUGAAUUCGGGAGAGGGAUGCGGAAUUCCAGGUGUAGCGGUGAAAUGCGUAGAUAUCUGGAGGAACACCGGUGGCGAAGGCGGCAUCCUGGACCGAAAUUGACACUGAUGAGCGAAAGCCAGGGGAGCAAACGGG